This 429-nucleotide ribosomal RNA is filed under the name Gemmatimonadota bacterium. Its description in RNAcentral is "Gemmatimonadetes bacterium partial 16S ribosomal RNA". It matches the Rfam family "Bacterial small subunit ribosomal RNA", at positions 355 to 776 of the family's 1533-position model. The record is from RNAcentral. Lineage: Bacteria; Pseudomonadati; Gemmatimonadota.
UAGGGAAUCUUCGGCAAUGGACGAAAGUCUGACCGAGCAACGCCGCGUGAGUGAAGAAGGUUUUCGGAUCGUAAAACUCUGGUGUUAGAGAAGAACAAGGACGUUAGUAACUGAACGUCCCCUGACGGUAUCUAACCAGAAAGCCACGGCUAACUACGUGCCAGCAGCCGCGGUAAUACGUAGGUGGCAAGCGUUGUCCGGAUUUAUUGGGCGUAAAGCGAGCGCAGGCGGUUUCUUAAGUCUGAUGUGAAAGCCCCCGGCUCAACCGGGGAGGGUCAUUGGAAACUGGGAGACUUGAGUGCAGAAGAGGAGAGUGGAAUUCCGUGUGUAGCGGUGAAAUGCGUAGAUAUGUGGAGGAACACCAGUGGCGAAGGCGGCUCUCUGGUCUGUAACUGACGCUGAGGCUCGAAAGCGUGGGGAGCAAACAGG